Long non-coding RNA from Xenopus tropicalis (tropical clawed frog), 575 nucleotides. RefSeq lists it as uncharacterized. Lineage: Eukaryota; Metazoa; Chordata; Amphibia; Anura; Pipidae. The transcript is spliced from 3 exons. The record is from RefSeq and is a predicted model, not a curated record.
CAUGCUUGUGACAUCACUGCAGCCGAACUCUGCCUUGUAUAUGAGCCGCCUGCAUUUUGCAUAACAAGGGAGUGGCGCUCGUAGUGUCGGAGCCGGUUCGUAUCGGACAGGGAGGAAAUAGCAACAGCAGCAGGUGACGUAGGUGGGAUAUUGCGGCGAGAAGAUGGUCUGACUGAUCAUUAAUGCGUGCCGCUAUGUGGCCAAGAAGAUAACUUCCUCACACAGGGAGGAUGGAGAGGAGAAGGGAGCAGCCAGUGGUCCUGCCAAGUCUUCAUGUGUUCUGCAAUCAGGAUGCAAGAAAGGUGGUUCCACUCGGGCUUUUUCCCCUUCUCUCUCUGCCCCCCUGACUUCCAACCCAGAUGAGAGUUCCCCUUCCAGCUCAGCCAUCCAGACACGUGAUUCUGUUCCUUACUAACACCUCAAGGGGAUUUAUUUUACAAGAUGGUAUGUCAAGAGAAGGGGCAACACAGCAGAAGGAUGACCCCCCUGUCAGAAGCCUCUAACUUUAGAGGUUGAGAGGAGGUGAAGAAUAUAUCUGGUGUGUUGUAAAUAAAAAUAAAAAAAUUUGAAACCUA